GGCAGAGCCAAAACCGUAACAGCCAGAGCUAGAGACUCCGGCCUGGGGUUCUGGCUCUGUCCCGUAUCAGCUAGGAAACCCAGGGCAAGCUACUUAAACUCUCAGAGGCUCAGCUUUUUCAUGAGCAAACAGGAAAACAGGGCUAAUGAUUAGUCCUUGGCUUAAAAUACAUACCGCGUGUGAAAUUGCAGGUAUAUAAUAGAUUCACUAAAUGAGAGCACAAAUAAUGUAUGUUUUCUGAACCAUCUGAGGGCGAGUUAUCAACACUUACUCUCCAAUGCGUCAUCACCCCCAACACUCCUGUGUAUUUCCUGCAAAUAAGGAUCUUCUCCUACAUGGUCAGUCCGAACAACCUUCAGUCACAACUGAGAAGGUCACAUGGUGCAUCACUGCCGCUCAGUCUCCCCAAGCCCAGUGAUUUCUUCACAGUUCUCCUGCCGCCAGCUGUCUCUCCUGAGUCCUGAGCACCACAUCUCUGGACCGUCUGGAGCCUCCCCUCCCUUGGCUUACUGCUCCCACCACCCUCUCUCUCCACCUUGCAAGAGACACUCUCCCUCAUCCUGGGUCAUCACCCUCUUUAGAGGCGCCGCCUGGCCACGAGGCAUCAGAUGGAGUGCAGCCGGGAGCAAGAUUCUCAUAGCAAUUACAAAGAUUCACAAGAAAAUGUGCCCUCCACUACACAGCUGUAAUUUACAUGCUUUCAAACUUGAUAUGGAAUGACUGUGGUUUCCCCUGAAAGAAGCAUCACUGAUCUCUGCACAGGAGAAACAAGGAUCUUGCUCUGUCACCUAGGCUGGAGUGCAAUGGCACACUCACGGCUCACUGCAGCGUCAAACUCCCAGGCUCAAGUGUUCCUCCUACCUCAGCCUCCUGAGUAGCUAGGACCACAGCACAGGCCCAGACACAAAGCAGAUGUGCAGUGGAGUGUGAAAGAGGCAGCCAACUCACUGGGGAGCUUCAGAGGGAGAUGGCCCAAAUUGCUGGGGCCUAAGAAUCUCCCGGAAUGAAGGAACAGUAGAAAGAACUGGAAGCCAAAUAUGGUGAUAGAGACUCUCAUCAAGGACACUGAGUAAACCAGAAACCUGCUUGGGCUCACGUUCCUUGUCUCUUCUUCUCAGAUCCAGGAAAGGAGCUGUCCAGGACAAUGAGGAUAGGCUGAGGAAAGACAGGCCACGGCCUUGCCUCUGUGCCAGCUCUCAUGGGCCAGGCAGAGUAUCCCAGGACAACUGCCUCCACAACCAGCUCCAUCCUUCAUCAGCAAUUCAGUACCUGAUUAACAAAUCUGUACCCCAGGAGGUUAUGCCAAGUCCAACUUCUUCCAGAGACCACAACAAUAAAUCCAAGCCACUGCUAAUGUCAUUUAUAAGCUGUGGGAUUAAAACAGAGAAGCAAUCAAUUAAUUAAAA
Homo sapiens (human) is the source of this 1406-nucleotide long non-coding RNA. NCBI's taxonomy places the organism in Eukaryota, Metazoa, Chordata, Mammalia, Primates, Hominidae. The record is from Ensembl.